This is a long non-coding RNA of Oncorhynchus tshawytscha (Chinook salmon), 2108 nucleotides long. The record is from Ensembl. Lineage: Eukaryota; Metazoa; Chordata; Actinopteri; Salmoniformes; Salmonidae.
CUGCUCUUACCACUAGGCUACCUGCUCUAACCACUAGGCUACCUGCUCUAACCACUAGGCUACCUGCUCUAACCACUAGGCUACCUGCUCUAACCAGUAGGCUACCUGCUCUAACCACUAGGCUACCUGCUCUAACCACUAGGCUACCUGCUCUAACCACUAGGCUACCUGCUCUAACCACUAGGCUACCUGCUCUAACCACUAACCACUAGGCUACCUGCUCUAACCACUAGGCUACCUGCUCUAACCACUAACCACUAGGCUACCUGCUCUAACCACUAACCACUAGGCUACCUGCUCUAACCACUAACCACUAGGCUACCUGCUCUAACCACUAACCACUAGGCUACCUGCUCUAACCACUAACCACUAGGCUACCUGCUCUAACCACUAACCACUAGGCUACCUGCUCUAACCACUAGGCUACCUGCUCUAACCACUAACCACUAGGCUACCUGCCGCCCCAGUAUCCACCUCUGUGUUGAUGAGUGUUUGGGUUGAGAUAUGUGCUCUACAACCCAGUUCUACCCAGCGCUCUCCCUGGUAACCUGCCAUUGACACUGUAAUUGUAUCUUGUAACACUGACAAAUACCUGAUGUAUUGGACAACUUAUUCAAGGAGGGAAAUCUCUUAUUCAAAAAGAGUAAAGCCAGAUCAGAGCAGAGGCUUCUGUUUCACAUGCUAGCACAGUACUCAUCAAGGCUAUGUUUAUUGAAUCUCAAAAUAACAAGGCACUCACACUGCAAAAAAAAAAUAGCUUACAAAAUUCGCAUGAACAAUUCAGAUGAAAUGUACUUCAUGUAUUUAUGUUCACAUACAGUCAGUAGGCCGACCUACAUUCACCGUGCAUUGAGAUGUUUCUAUGUGUAUUUAUGUUCCCAUACAGUCAGUAGGCCGACCUACAUUCACCGUGCAUUGAGAUGUUUCUAUGUGUAUUUAUGUUCCCAUACAGUCAGUAGGCCGACCUACAUUCACCGUGCAUUGAGAUGUUUCUAUGUGUAUUUAUGUUCCCAUACAGUCAGUAGGCCGACCUACAUUCACCGUGCAUUGAGAUGUUUCUAUGUGUAUUUAUGUUCACAUACAUCUGACAUACACUGAGCGGACAAAACAUUAGGAACACCCUCUUCCUGAUAAUGAGUUGCACCUCCCCCUUUUGCCCUCAGAACAGCUUCAGAUGUUUGUGCAUGGACCCUACAAAGUGUCGAAAGUGUUCUACAGGGAUGCUGACCCAUUUCACACUUUAGCAAACGCUCUUAUCCAGAGCGACUUGAGUUAAGUGCCUUGCUCAAGGGCACAUCGACAGAUUUUUCCCCCCUAAUAUAAUAAUUCUAAAUACUUUACCAGAGAGCUAAACUUAGCAUCAUAAGCGGCAGGUAGCCUGGGGGGUAGAGCGUUGGACUAGUAACCGAAAAGUUGAUAGAUCGAAUCCCCAGAGCUGAAAAGGUAAACUGUUGUUCUGUUGUCUGUUGUUCUGCCCCUGAACAAGGCAGUUAACCCACUGUUCAUAGGCCGUCAUUGUAAAUAAGAUUUUGUUCUUAACUAGUUAAAUAAAAAUAGCUAUGGAUUGUUUGCCUAUUCCUAUUUGGGAAACCAGCCAUUUUGGGCAGCGUGCAUGGCAAUAGACCUCGCUGAUUAUUGAGUUGUGGCUGUCAGUGAAAAACAUCUCAAAUGUGUGAAGAUAAUGUGUCUCGAGACUAAUUUAAAAAUGUUGCAACAAGAAGUAGGGGAGGGAUGUGUCGCGAAGAUAUGGGCGUCUCUCUCCAGAAUGCAUGCUCUCAGCUCUACAGAAUGCAUGCUCUCAGCUCUCCAGAAUGCAUGCUCUCAGCUCUACAGAAUGCAUGCUCUCAGCUCUCCAGAAUGCAUGCUCUCAGCUCUCCAGAAUGCAUGCUCUCAGCUCUACAGAAUGCAUGCUCUCAGCUCUACAGAAUGCAUGCUCUCAGCUCUACAGAAUGCAUGCUCUCAGCUCUACAGAAUGCAUGCUCUCAGCUCUACAGAAUGCAUGCUCUCAGCUCUCCAGAAUGCAUGCUCUCAGCUCUCCAGAAUGCAUGCUCUCAGCUCUACAGAAUGCAUGCUCUCAGCUCUCCAGAAUGCAUGCUCUCAGCUCUACA